Rosa rugosa (rugosa rose) is the source of this 3155-nucleotide long non-coding RNA. RefSeq lists it as uncharacterized. The transcript has 5 exons. NCBI's taxonomy places the organism in Eukaryota, Viridiplantae, Streptophyta, Magnoliopsida, Rosales, Rosaceae. The record is from RefSeq and is a predicted model, not a curated record.
CUCUCCCUCUCCCUCUCCCUCUCCGUCUCCUACUCUUCUCCUCCUCCUGACCUCCUCGGCGAGUUGGCGACGGCUCCUCCCCUCCUCCAUGAGUACGUUUCUGCAAUCCUUCUGGUGGUGGGUCUGAUCCUAUUCACCUUAGCGGAUGCACAAACGUCUCCCAACUUCAGCGUGAUUGGUGUGGUGAUGGUAUCGGGUGCUCUAUUUUCAGUCUCCCAACUUCAGUCUUCAAUUUUCAGUCUUCAAUUCUUCAAUUCUUCAAUUCUUCAAUUCUGAAUUCAAGUAGCAAAGCAGAUGUCCUCAAGGCUCAAGCAGAUUUGUGGGUUCGAUACUUCGAUUUCAGUUUUCGAUUUCAGAUUCUUCAAGCUGGGUUCAAUUUCGGGAUUUCUGGCUAAUGGAAAAUAUUAUUCCGGUUGUGGAGAAGAGAAGACCAUCACGUGUCCUCCGCAGAGUUCGCUCACUGCAAUGGUAGAGAUAUGAUUGAGGUGUUGUAUGGAAAACAGACUGCGCUAAGAAAGAUGAAAGAAGUUGCCACAUGUGUGAUGAAGUGCAAUUCCGUGUGAAGAAAGAGAUGGCGUUGAUCGAGGGAGAUAAAAGGUAACAGAACCUUCUGUUAUACGUAGUUGGUUUGCAGGGAAUUGAAACCUCUUUUUCCCACAUUAACGCAUUAGUCCCAAAAAUAAUAUUCCCAGAACAUAUUAUUUGCUGUUUAAGUGUUUGACAGAAUUGACAAAUGGUUCAUUGUAUAAAUUGAGAUGAAAUUUGCAUCUGUUUUGGUAUGAAAAUAAUAUCAAUCAAGCAUCUGUUUUGGUAUGCUGGCGUGCUGCCAGUUUUGGACUUUUGGUAUGCUGCUUUGUUUCUCUAUCUGUAAUAUGUUAUUAAGUGUAUGUGCCAGUUUUGGUAACAUGCAAAUUUCGCUGCCGCCGCCGAAGCAAUAACUCCAAACCUUCAGAACCAAUUUCGAGUGUCAACUCCAAUUCAUAAGAUACAAAGGUCUGUCUUCCUUCUCCUUCAAACUAUCCACUCUCUUUGUUCUCAUUCAUUGUUGUGUUUGACAGCGAUUACACUUUCGUCUAAGUUAGGUUAUUAAUACAGUGAGAAUUGAUUAUGAACAUUGAGAAGGUUUACCUUUAUUUGUUUUGGAUAUUCAAUUAUGUGUUGGGUGUUCAUCUUGUUUUGACUAUGCUGAAAUCAGAAUUGGGUUCGUUGUGUUUUGGUUUUAGCUGGUGCGUGCUUUAGGUGGAGCUGUAGCGUCGUCUUCGCUUCUGGGGGUUUCUUGUUUCUCUAGUUUGUGUUCUGUGGUGUUGAAAGUUGGAGAGAGAUCGAUUGAUAUGGGAAUGAAGGUGGAUGGUUUGGUAGAGCAGGGCAGAGAGAUCCAUAAGUUCCUUCUUUUCCAAAAUCCUUGCUAUGUUUGUCUAACUGGUGAUAUCUUUCAAUUGAUUUUGAGUCUUUUGGUUAGUUUUUGUUAAGUUCCAGCUCUUCUAUUUAGGAUUCAUUGGUUAAAACUCAAGGUAGAAAAGAGGUUCUGCAAAUGUGAAUUUGUGUUUCUGAGUUUCUGACCCAGUUGAACUUUUACUGAAAACUGUACAGUUAGGUUGGGAACUUGAAAUUAUUAGCUUCUUACAAAUUGCAAUAGACAUCUUAAAGAUCGUUUCAGAGUUGGAAUCUCCUAAAAACAAUUUUUCUAGAAUUACUUAUGAUUUUUCAAAGUUGCAGGUCUGCUGCAGGAAUUUCUGUACACAGCAAUACUGUCUUUUUAUUUCGGUCUCUUUAGUAGUUUUCUAUGUCCAGUCUUUCUUGAAAGCACCAAUUAAUACUUGAAAAGUAGGCAUUCCCAUCCUUCAAAUGAAAUCAGUCUUGCUCUUUUUGGAGUUCGUACGAAGGAUUUAUGUCAUCACGAAGUUAGCUCUAUGCAUUAAGAUUUCUGCAGCAUAAUUUUCUGCAAACAUUAAGUACUUUUCUGGGUGUUAAACUAUCUCAGUUUCUUGGAAAAUAGAACACUGGGUUUCUUGUGCCUAAGGUGUUUGUUGAAAUGCAUAGCUGAAAUUUCCUGUCAGACAAUGAGGAAUGAUGCGACUAGUGAUAUUCAAUUUAUGAUCUCACUGUCAAAGUAAAGCUUCAUAUUCAAUCAGUUUGCAGUCCCUUUGAUGGUUGACUUGUUAAGUUUGUUAAUGCAGGAUGCUAAUGGCAACGAUGUGGAUCUUAGUGUGUACAAGGAGAAUGUUCUACUUAUUGUCAAUGCUUCCAAAUGGUAUUCACCUCAUAUUCGUCAAUUCUCGCAUUUACUGAUUCUUUGUUCUAUUGUUCACUGCUAUUUUUUCUUUUUCUGCUGAUUUGUUGUAGUGGACUGACCUAGUUGUAAUAUAGUUGGAUGAUCUGUUGUAAAAUGAAAAUGGAGUAAUGGUUUUGUAGAGAGUGCUAGCAAAGUAGCAAAUGGUUUUGUACAAAGUGCCAGAAAUGAUUGAAUCUAUAUUUUUCUUUUAAAAAGUUGAAUUAUUGAUUUGAUUCUUGUUCUACUGUUUUGAUUGUCAAAUUGAAUCUUCGUUCUGUUUUUCUUAAUAUGUGUUCGGAAAGCUUGCUUCACCUAUUCUCAGUCAAUAUUGGAAGAUUCAAUUGCACCAAAUCUUUUUUCCAUCCCUGCAAGAAUUAAGUCUAGUUCAGGUAUAUCUCUUUUGCCCACAAAAGUUCUAGCAGCAUCUCUGUUUGCUGCAUGAAAUUGAUCUUUGAUAGUAUAUUAGUCUUCUAAUUGCAUACGGGAAACAGCAUUCGAGUUGUUUGAUCAUCGAUCAUGGAAACUUUUGUUUUAAGAUUCAUUCAUGGAAGUUUUGACCUGAUCUUAUAAGGAAGAUAACAAUUCUUUUCAUCUUACCCUUCUGAAUGACCGGUUAUCUGCUAUAAUGUAUUCACUCAUCUCUACAUUAUUAUAUGCAGGUUCUUACCGAGGGUAAACAAAAGGAUGUACUUAAAGCUGCCGGUGCAUUGUUUUCACAUAUUUGUGAGAUUUAGGCAGGGUUAAUGUGCAUCACAUUUAUGGACAAGUAUCGUGGGGGUUAAUGUUGGGAUAGAAUGACUUUGUUGGAUAUAUGGAUGAAUGUAUCGAAUCUUUACAUAAAUAAAUGUGUUUUGGGUUAUCAUUUGGAUCCCAUAUAUGCAGA